GAUGAACGCCGGCGGCGUGCCUAAUACAUGCAAGUCGAGCGAACAGACGAGGAGCUUGCUCCUCUGACGUUAGCGGCGGACGGGUGAGUAACACGUGGAUAACCUACCUAUAAGACUGGGAUAACUUCGGGAAACCGGAGCUAAUACCGGAUAACAUGUUGAACCGCAUGGUUCAACAGUGAAAGACGGUCUUGCUGUCACUUAUAGAUGGAUCCGCGCCGCAUUAGCUAGUUGGUAAGGUAACGGCUUACCAAGGCAACGAUGCGUAGCCGACCUGAGAGGGUGAUCGGCCACACUGGAACUGAGACACGGUCCAGACUCCUACGGGAGGCAGCAGUAGGGAAUCUUCCGCAAUGGGCGAAAGCCUGACGGAGCAACGCCGCGUGAGUGAAGAAGGUCUUCGGAUCGUAAAACUCUGUUAUUAGGGAAGAACAAAUGUGUAAGUAACUAUGCACGUCUUGACGGUACCUAAUCAGAAAGCCACGGCUAACUACGUG
RNAcentral lists this ribosomal RNA (497 nucleotides) under uncultured bacterium. RNAcentral's name for it is "partial 16S ribosomal RNA". It matches the Rfam family "Bacterial small subunit ribosomal RNA", at positions 28 to 507 of the family's 1533-position model. The record is from RNAcentral.